This is a long non-coding RNA of Arabidopsis lyrata subsp. lyrata, 545 nucleotides long. RefSeq lists it as uncharacterized. NCBI's taxonomy places the organism in Eukaryota, Viridiplantae, Streptophyta, Magnoliopsida, Brassicales, Brassicaceae. The transcript is spliced from 2 exons. The record is from RefSeq and is a predicted model, not a curated record.
GAAUGAAGUAGAAGAGAAAGAAGAUGAAGAGAGUGAAGACGAAGAGAAUGAAGAUGAAGGAGAGAGUAGCCGAACCUUGCGUGAUUCCAUUGAAGAGAGAUCCGAAGAGAUAUCAAACGAAAAUCGCGUGGAGAUGGAUACAAUGAGGGAGAACGUGUUCAUAUAUUUCAAAUGCCAAGGUCGCAUGUAUAGCUUGAUGAUGAAGACAUCAUGGGAGAAGAUAACUCUCUCCAUGUUAGAAGCUUACUCAAAAUCGAAUGUUCGAAAUGACUGGAGAAGAUGCUACGUCCGUAGAGCCAUUUGGGAGAAAAUUUCGACUUUUUAAUUUAUUCCACAUGGUCUUCUACUUCUUAUCUAGCAUUGUUAUUGGGCACACACAGAUUGGAGAAGAUGCUACGUCCAUGGAGUCAUAUUUUCUGAGAGCAUUGUAUGAUAUGAACUAUUUUGGGUUGUAAUGUUUCUAAUCUGUGUUCAUUGUUUACAUCCCACAUGAAAUUGAUAGUAUCAUGGUAGCUGGAGGUGAAGAAGAAUAUACCUUCUUUAUU